RNAcentral lists this small RNA (452 nucleotides) under Pongo abelii (Sumatran orangutan). Its description in RNAcentral is "retained intron". Lineage: Eukaryota; Metazoa; Chordata; Mammalia; Primates; Hominidae. The record is from RNAcentral.
ACGGGGAGCAGGGCCCCAUCUGGACGUUCCCCCCUACCAUCCGGCCGAGUCCACACAGCAAGCUUCACAAGGGGACGGCCCUGCACGGCUCACAGAAGCCUGCGGAGCCCGUUAAGAGGCAGCCGAGGUCCCAGUGCCUGUCCACGCUGGUCCGGCCCGUCUUCGGAGAGGUGAGGAUGGGGCUGGGGCUGGGCCUGGAGUCCCGCAAGGGACAAGGCUGUCACGCUGUUCUACGGAGAUGUCUCCCUCACAGCACCGUGGGGCGGUUUCGGCUUCUAGCUUUCCUGCAGCUGAUUAUGGCUGGGUUUUCUGAGUGGAAGGAGCAGAAUCUGCUACAGUGACUCCUUUUGUACUCCCAGACCUGCCAAGGUUCUCUGGGUUCCUAGGGUGACUUUUUUUUCUUCAGGUGCAAACACAGAUGACCCUUCUAUAGAGAAAGCAGAGAAGGUUUA